CCUACGGGAGGCAGCAGUGGGGAAUAUUGGGCAAUGGGCGCAAGCCUGACCCAGCAACGCCGCGUGAAGGAAGAAGGCUUUCGGGUUGUAAACUUCUUUUGUCAGGGACGAAGCAAGUGACGGUACCUGACGAAUAAGCCACGGCUAACUACGUGCCAGCAGCCGCGGUAAUACGUAGGUGGCAAGCGUUAUCCGGAUUUACUGGGUGUAAAGGGCGUGUAGGCGGGGAAGCAAGUCAGAUGUGAAAACCACGGGCUCAACCUGUGGCCUGCAUUUGAAACUGUUUUUCUUGAGUACUGGAGAGGCAGACGGAAUUCCUAGUGUAGCGGUGAAAUGCGUAGAUAUUGGGAGGAACACCAGUGGCGAAGGCGGCCUGCUGGACAUUAACUGACGCUGAGGCGCGAAAGCGUGGGGAGCAAACAGGAUUGGAUACCCCUGUAGUC
This 443-nucleotide ribosomal RNA is filed under the name uncultured bacterium. RNAcentral's name for it is "partial 16S ribosomal RNA". It matches the Rfam family "Bacterial small subunit ribosomal RNA", at positions 338 to 795 of the family's 1533-position model. The record is from RNAcentral.